Molecule: ribosomal RNA, 500 nt
Filed under: uncultured bacterium
Lineage: Bacteria
Description: partial 16S ribosomal RNA
Rfam family: Bacterial small subunit ribosomal RNA
Source: RNAcentral
AUUGAACGCUGGCGGCAGGCCUAACACAUGCAAGUCGAGCGGAUGAGAGGAGCUCGCUCCUCGAUUCAGCGGCGGACGGGUGAGUAAUGCCUAGGAAUCUGCCCAGUAGUGGGGGACAACGUUUCGAAAGGAACGCUAAUACCGCAUACGUCCUACGGGAGAAAGUGGGGGAUCUUCGGACCUCACGCUAUUGGAUGAGCCUAGGUCGGAUUAGCUAGUUGGUAGGGUAAAGGCCUACCAAGGCGACGAUCCGUAACUGGUCUGAGAGGAUGACCAGACACACUGGAGCUGAGACACGGUCCAGACUCCUAAGGGAGGCAGCAGUGGGGAAUAUUGGACAAUGGGCGCAAGCCUGAUCUAGCCAUGCCGCGUGUGUGAAGAAGGCCCUCGGGUCGUAAAGCACUUUAAGUUGGGAGGAAGGGCUUACAGCGAAUACCUGUGAGUUUUGACGUUACCGACAGAAUAAGCACCGGCUAACUUCGUGCCAGCCGCCGCCGCCG